Molecule: transfer-messenger RNA, 359 nt
Filed under: Myxococcales bacterium
Lineage: Bacteria; Pseudomonadati; Myxococcota; Myxococcia; Myxococcales
Also listed under: 1 other name
Rfam family: transfer-messenger RNA
About the family: Bacterial tmRNA, also known as 10Sa RNA or SsrA, is named for its dual tRNA and mRNA-like properties.
Source: RNAcentral
GGGGGCGAUACGGUUUCGACGUGGGUUGUGAAGGUUCAGCAGCGUGACAGCCGAUGAUCGUGACGGCUCAAGCAACACGAUCAAACAGAGAAGCGAACGACAACGCUCUCGCUCUCGCCGCCUAAUUAGCGUGUGAGACGUCUCCCGAAGAGUCCGCCUGUACUCUUCGACGAGGCGCCAAAGAACAGGAUGCCUUCCAGGGACCGCACGCCGACCUGGGAGAAAGAUAAAGGAGUGAUUGCCUGCGAGGGAGCCUGUCUGUCGGCGACUUCGCGGGUGAAACAAAAGACAGACUAGGUUCCGUAGACGCUGAACCGGAACGCUUGCGGACCCGGGUUCGACUCCCGGCGCCUCCACCC